AUCAAGUAUCUUCGUGUUCGUAAUUCCAACGGUGCUUCUUAUAAGAAUGAUGAAACGCAAGCGGACAUAAGUACUCGUUCCCGUGACGAAGUCACUGGGGCCGGCGUAGGGCCUUUGACAGUCAAUGAUUUACAAAAUGCAAGGAAACAACUUAUUCGUUACGUACAACAGGAAGCCUUUCCCGAUGAAAUUACCCGUCUUAAACGCAGAUCGAGCGGUCAAUCUACCUCGAAAAUUGUUGUGAAGAAAUCCAGCAAAUUGGCAGCAUUAUCACCUUUCCUCGCAGACGACGGUCUAUUAAGAGUUGGUGGCCGAUUGGAUAGAGCAUCAAUAAGUUUUGACGCCAAGCAUCCCGCGAUCAUUCCAGGCAAGCACCACAUUGUAGAACUGUUGAUACGGCACUAUCAUGAGCAAGAAGGACACUCGGGCGUUCGUACUGUUUUAUCGGCUAUUCAGCGUGAAUUUUGGAUUCUCCAAGGGCGUUCCAGGAUUCGAUGGAUCAUUGGCAAAUGUGUUCAAUGCCGCAAGAAAUACGCGUCGCCCUGUGAACAGAUAAUGGCGCCUUUACCAGCAGCUCGUGUAACUGUUCCAGAUUAUCCAUUUGCGUCAACGGGAGUCGAUUACUUUGGUCCUUUGAUGGUGAAGAGAGGUCGAAGUCAAGUCAAGAGAUACGGAUGCAUCUUCACUUGUUUGGCCAUGCGGGCAGCUCACAUAGAAGUCGCACAUUCUCUCGAUGCAGAAUCGUUUCUCUGUGCAUUCAGUCGCUUCACAGCCCGUCGAGGGGUUCCGAAGGAAAUCUUUAGUGACAAUGGAACCAAUUUCAUUGGAGCGUCAAGAAUCUUGAAGGAAGAGUUCAAGAAUAUUCAGUCAGUGGAGUCUCAAGCCAAGAUCAACGAUCGUUUACGAAUGAAAGAAAUCACGUGGCAUUUCAACCCUCCCUUGGCAAGUCACACUGGUGGAGUGUGGGAGCGCAUGAUUCGAUCAAUCCGAAGAAUAUUAACUGCACUGACAAGCGAGCAGGUUAUUGAUGACGAAGCACUUCUCACGUUCUUAGUCGAAGUGGAGAGAAUUCUCAACGAUCGCCCCCUGAAUCGUAACCAAGGUCAAGUAUGUGAUUUGGACCCACUAACUCCAAGCAAGUUGCUUCUCUUGAGAUCGAACUCAUGUCUUCCUACAGGCGUGUUCGUUGGUGAAGAUCGUUAUAGCAAGCGAUGGCGACAAGCUCAACUUCUAGCUAACACAUUUUGGAAACGAUGGUUGGGUGAAUACCUACCUAGUCUGCAGCAGCGCCAGAAGUGGCUGAAACCCAGAAGGAACUUGAAGGUCAAAGAUUUGGUGUUAAUGGUGGAUAAGAGAUGUUCACGAGGACAGUGGCCUAUGGCAGUGGUGGAGGAAGUUUUUGCAGAUAAGGACGGAAUGGUGCGUCAAGUUAUGAUUAGAUCGAAUGGCGGGAAAUUUAAGAGACAUGUCCGUGAACUGUGCCUAGUCGAAGAAGCGAAAGAAGUCGAUGAAUAGUCGCAAGGUCUGGUAUAUACAAACGUUUAUAUAUUGUUAUUGUUAUGCGAAGCCAAUCGAACUCGUACUUUGUUCCAGUUACUGGGCGUAGAUCCUUGUGUUUUGGUAUAUCGACUAUGUUUAUACUCGAUAGGGGCCGGUUUGUAGGAUCUAACCCGAAAAGUAGGGCCUAAUCGCCUGCGAGCAGGCAGGACAUCACGUGAUAAAAACACAUGUUGGUUUUAUAUUUUUGAUUGUUUGUUCGGAUUACGAAGGGCAAAAGUCAGGUACAUUUGCAUGUUUUUGGUCCUGUUUUCUAUGUAUUUGCAAAGUAAUUUGUUUCUUGUAGCGUAGUUUAUAAUGUAUUUGUAUUGUUUCUAUAGAAACCACCUUUAAAGCG
Molecule: long non-coding RNA, 1894 nt
Filed under: Paramuricea clavata
Lineage: Eukaryota; Metazoa; Cnidaria; Anthozoa; Malacalcyonacea; Plexauridae
Source: RNAcentral